AGAAGAGUUGUGGGGAAAAGCCCCGAUCACGUCAACUUCGGCCUGGAGGUUUUUGGAUUUUUGAAGGAGAAAACUGGCUUAUGUUUGUUCAGGUGUUAACAAUUUUGCUGCCACAGUAUAUAAGUUCUCUCUGUGUUGCCAGUUUUCAGUUAUUUUCAUUCUUUUUGGCUCCUUUUGAUGCUUAAAUCUGUUUAAAAUUGCUUUUAUGACAGGUUUGGAGUUAACCUGAUUGCUGAACUCUUUUUGUUCCAGUGCCUACAAUACUAUUCUUCCAGUAAAUGACUAAAAUCGUGAUAGGUACAGGCCAUGGAGUUAGAUGGGAACUUGGGGACUAGCCAACAUUCUGCUCAAAAGAGCAGCCAGAAUUUUGACAGAAAUGCCUGCAGAGGUGAAAGAAAAAUCCCUCAAACUCUUAGAAAAAUGACCGGAUCCAUCUGAUUCAUGGGCCGCGGUCUCACUCAAAAGAGAUAAACCAUCUCAGGGACGGACAGAGAACUCAGGCCAUUUUCAAUCUUGAAUGGCCUGGGCAGACCUACCAUGAUGCACUGCAGCCCCCCUGCUGCUGCUGUCACGCGGAACUUUCGUGGAUCCCUUUUGCCUGGUAAAAGGUAAGCUUUAANAUUUUGUGGAGUUGGGGUGUCAGCNGCAGNGGCAGGGUUCNACCCUUCCCAGGGUGAAGCAGAGUGAGGCNGCUUUGUGAGCAGCACAGAAUGAACGCGACUGGCAGUGAUCAGC
RNAcentral lists this long non-coding RNA (735 nucleotides) under Salvator merianae (Argentine black and white tegu). RNAcentral's name for it is "lncRNA (ENSSMRG00000013096.1)". Lineage: Eukaryota; Metazoa; Chordata; Lepidosauria; Squamata; Teiidae. The record is from RNAcentral.